UACGUAGGGGGCAAGCGUUGUCCGGAAUCAUUGGGCGUAAAGCGCGCGUAGGCGGCCCGGUAAGUCCGCUGUAAAAGUCCAGGGCUCAACCCUGGAAAGCCGGUGGAUACUGUCGGGCUAGAGUGCGGAAGAGGCGAGUGGAAUUCCUGGUGUAGCGGUGAAAUGCGCAGAUAUCAGGAGGAACACCGAUUGCGAAGGCAGCUCGCUGGGACGUUACUGACGCUGAGACGCGAAAGCGUGGGGAGCAAACAGG
RNAcentral lists this ribosomal RNA (253 nucleotides) under uncultured bacterium. Its description in RNAcentral is "partial 16S ribosomal RNA". It matches the Rfam family "Bacterial small subunit ribosomal RNA", at positions 524 to 776 of the family's 1533-position model. The record is from RNAcentral.